This 618-nucleotide ribosomal RNA is filed under the name Aspergillus niger. RNAcentral describes it as "partial 28S ribosomal RNA". It matches the Rfam family "Eukaryotic large subunit ribosomal RNA", at positions 1 to 633 of the family's 3401-position model. The record is from RNAcentral. Lineage: Eukaryota; Fungi; Ascomycota; Eurotiomycetes; Eurotiales; Aspergillaceae.
UUGACCUCGGAUCAGGUAGGGAUACCCGCUGAACUUAAGCAUAUCAAUAAGCGGAGGAAAAGAAACCAACCGGGAUUGCCUCAGUAACGGCGAGUGAAGCGGCAAGAGCUCAAAUUUGAAAGCUGGCUCCUUCGGAGUCCGCAUUGUAAUUUGCAGAGGAUGCUUUGGGUGCGGCCCCCGUCUAAGUGCCCUGGAACGGGCCGUCAGAGAGGGUGAGAAUCCCGUCUUGGGCGGGGUGUCCGUGCCCGUGUAAAGCUCCUUCGACGAGUCGAGUUGUUUGGGAAUGCAGCUCUAAAUGGGUGGUAAAUUUCAUCUAAAGCUAAAUACUGGCCGGAGACCGAUAGCGCACAAGUAGAGUGAUCGAAAGAUGAAAAGCACUUUGAAAAGAGAGUUAAACAGCACGUGAAAUUGUUGAAAGGGAAGCGCUUGCGACCAGACUCGCCCGCGGGGUUCAGCCGGCAUUCGUGCCGGUGUACUUCCCCGUGGGCGGGCCAGCGUCGGUUUGGGCGGCCGGUCAAAGGCCCCUGGAAUGUAGUGCCCUCCGGGGCACCUUAUAGCCAGGGGUGCAAUGCGGCCAGCCUGGACCGAGGAACGCGCUUCGGCACGGACGCUGGCAUA